UGGAUAUCAUAAGUGUGAGCUAGUUGUGCAGUUGAGAGCUGCCUCCCUCAUGAAACACACAACAUAACACUCACUCAUUUCAUCGAUCUAACUUCCUCACUUUCUCUUUAGAUUCAUUCAUGGCUUCUUCCUUACCUUCCACUUCACCUUCUGCCGCUACUGUUAAACCUCUAACUAUACCUUCCACCACCAAAUCCCCACGCUUUUCUCAUUCCUCCCUCUCUUUCCCUCUUCUCUCUCCUAAUUCCAACAACACCCUCC
RNAcentral lists this long non-coding RNA (261 nucleotides) under Lathyrus oleraceus (garden pea). RNAcentral describes it as "Pisum sativum (pea) long non-coding RNA (PSAT_LNC010199)". Lineage: Eukaryota; Viridiplantae; Streptophyta; Magnoliopsida; Fabales; Fabaceae. The record is from RNAcentral.